Molecule: ribosomal RNA, 843 nt
Filed under: Inonotus sp.
Lineage: Eukaryota; Fungi; Basidiomycota; Agaricomycetes; Hymenochaetales; Hymenochaetaceae
Description: partial large subunit ribosomal RNA
Rfam family: Eukaryotic large subunit ribosomal RNA
Source: RNAcentral
AGGAUUCCCUAGUAACUGCGAGUGAACCGGGAAGAGCUCAAAUUUAAACUGGCGGCCUUCUGGACGUCCGAGUUGUAGUCUGGAGAAGUGUUAUCCGCGUCGGCGUGUACAAGUCUCCUGGAACGGAGCGUCAUAGAGGGUGAGAAUCCCGUCCAUGACACGGACCCGCCCGAUGCAUGUGAGGCACUCUCAAAGAGUCGAGUUGUUUGGGAAUGCAGCUCAAAAUGGGUGGUUCCAUCUUAAGCUAAAUAUUGGCGAGAGACCGAUAGCGAACAAGUACCGUGAGGGAAAGAUGAAAAGCACUGGAAAGAGAGGUUAAACAGUACGUGAAAUUGUUGAAAGGGAAACGCUUGAAGUCAGUCGCGUCCCGCGGAUCUCAGCCUGGUUUCGACCUGGUGUACUUUCCAUGUGGACGGGUCAACAUCAAUUGUCGGUGGACAAGGGCGAGGGGAAAUGUAGCGUUGCUUCGCGGCGACGUGUUAUAGCCCCUUGUCGUAUACGCUGGUUUGGGAUUGAGGACCCCAGCACGCCCUUGUGGCCGGGGGUUCGCCCCACGUAACGUGCUUAGGAUGUUGGCAUAAUGGCUUUAAGCGACCCGUCUUGAAACACGGACCAAGGAGUCUAACAUGCUUGCGAGUGUUCGGGUGGAACCUUGCGCGUAAUGAAAGUGAAAGUUGGGAACCUCCGCGAGGGGGUGCACCGACGCCCGGCCCUGACGUUCUCUUCGACGGUGCCGCGGUAGAGCACGUAUGUUGGGACCCGAAAGAUGGUGAACUAUGCCUGAAUGGCGAAGCCAGUGGAAACUCUGGUCCAGGCUCGUAGCGAUUCUGACGUGCAAUAUCG